AUGGCCGCCAUCAGGCCGGCGUGCUGACGCCGCAACAGGCGGCGAUGAUGCUGGUGGCGUUCGAUGUGCUGGCGACCAGC
RNAcentral lists this transfer RNA (80 nucleotides) under Serratia marcescens. RNAcentral's name for it is "tRNA-Cys(aca)". The record is from RNAcentral. Lineage: Bacteria; Pseudomonadati; Pseudomonadota; Gammaproteobacteria; Enterobacterales; Yersiniaceae.